CCAAGAUUUUUGAGUGGCAAGCUAAUCUAGACCCCCAUAAUUUUGUAUAUAUCACUGAGAUUGUUUUCCAACAUGCAUUACUUUGCAUUUAUUAACACUGAAUUUCAUCUGCCAUUUUCUUGCCCAGUCACCCAGUUUUGUGAGAUCCCUUUGUAACUCAUCAGUCAGCUUUAGACU
This is a long non-coding RNA of Dermochelys coriacea (leatherback sea turtle), 177 nucleotides long. RefSeq lists it as uncharacterized. The transcript has 3 exons. The record is from RefSeq and is a predicted model, not a curated record. NCBI's taxonomy places the organism in Eukaryota, Metazoa, Chordata, Testudines, Dermochelyidae.